AUAAAAAGCAAGAGAAACAUACAAAUCAGGCCCAUCUGGAGAGAAGGGAGUGAAGCAUUGCGCUGAUACGGGGAUAAAUAUGCUGGUUGGGUAGACAGGCAGUCCUUAUGCUUUUGGCUGACGUAGAUGUUACGUACUAUUUCAUGUGUUAUCACACUCUCCAGUAAACACGUAACAUAAGAGAAUAAUUAACCACUAUCAAGCGUUCUCAUCUUGAGACAGGAAGAUGUAGAGGAAAGACCUUGAUGUGUGUGUCAGUUACAAGGAUGUACACCAGUGACUGACAUGACUUGGUGCAAAUCUUGGGUAGAGACCUAUACUUAAGCUCCUCACCCCCACCUGCCGAGGCGUAAGGGCUCAGAGGGGGUUCCAUGGGGUGGGCGGGAGUGGUAAGGGUCGAGGUGCAGCCACAGCCUGGCUCUGUGCACACCCCCUCCCUCCCCCUGG
Molecule: long non-coding RNA, 447 nt
Filed under: Homo sapiens (human)
Lineage: Eukaryota; Metazoa; Chordata; Mammalia; Primates; Hominidae
Description: non-protein coding lnc-DGCR6-6:30
Source: RNAcentral